RNAcentral lists this transfer RNA (84 nucleotides) under Bacillota bacterium. Its description in RNAcentral is "Firmicutes bacterium (anaerobic digester metagenome) tRNA-Leu". It matches the Rfam family "tRNA". From Rfam's summary of the family: Transfer RNA (tRNA) molecules are approximately 80 nucleotides in length. Their secondary structure includes four short double-helical elements and three loops (D, anti-codon, and T loops). Further hydrogen bonds mediate the characteristic L-shaped molecular structure. tRNAs have two regions of fundamental functional importance: the anti-codon, which is responsible for specific mRNA codon recognition, and the 3' end, to which the tRNAs corresponding amino acid is attached (by aminoacyl-tRNA synthetases). tRNAs cope with the degeneracy of the genetic code in two manners: having more than one tRNA (with a specific anti-codon) for a particular amino acid; and 'wobble' base-pairing, i.e. permitting non-standard base-pairing at the 3rd anti-codon position. Lineage: Bacteria; Bacillati; Bacillota. The record is from RNAcentral.
GCCCAGGUGGCGGAACUGGCAGACGCGUACGUUUGAGGGGCGUAUGGGUUUCCCGUACCGGUUCGAGUCCGGUCCUGGGCACCA